GACGAACGCUGGCGGCGUGCUUAACACAUGCAAGUCGAGCGGUAAGGCCCUUUCGGGGGUACGACGAGCGGCGAACGGGUGAGUAACACGUGGGUGACCUGCCCUCAGCUCUGGGAUAAGCCUGGGAAACCGGGUCUAAUACUGGAUAUGACUCCAUGACGCAUGUUGUGGGGUGGAAAGCCUUGUGCGGCUGAGGAUGGGCCCGCGGCCUAUCAGCUUGUUGGUGGGGUGAGGCCUACCAAGGCGACGACGGGUAGCCGGCCUGAGAGGGCGACCGGCCACACUGGGACUGAGACACGGCCCAGACUCCUACGGGAGGCAGCAGUGGGGAAUCUUGCGCAAGUGGGCGAAAGCCUGACGCAGCGACGCCGCGUGAGGGAUGACGGCCU
This 389-nucleotide ribosomal RNA is filed under the name uncultured bacterium. RNAcentral describes it as "bacterial SSU rRNA". It matches the Rfam family "Bacterial small subunit ribosomal RNA", at positions 28 to 417 of the family's 1533-position model. The record is from RNAcentral.